AUGGAAGUUAUAGCUAAAGAGAAGGCUCAAGCAGCACCUGCGAUCCAUGAUGAAGUCGAUCUUGAUGAGUUACUGGAUGACCCAGAGCUUGAGAAAUUGCAUGCUGAACGGCUUGCUGCUCUUAAGAGAGAGGUCGAGAAGCGUGAGGUGCUAAAGAGGCAAGGUCAUGGUGAAUACAGGGAAAUAACCGAAGGGGACUUCUUAGGAGAGGUCACUCGUGGUGACAAGGUCAUCUGUCAUUUCUACCAUCGUGAAUUUUACCGCUGCAAGAUCAUGGAUAAGCAUUUGAAGGCACUUGCACCGGUCUAUUUGGGAACUAAAUUCGUCAAGCUUGAUGCCGAAAAUGCUCCCUUCUUUGUGGCAAAACUAGCAAUCAAAACGUUGCCAUGUGUUAUAUUGUUCAAGAAGGGUAUUGCUCUUGAUCGGUUGGUUGGUUUCGAUGACCUUGGAAGUAAAGAUGAUUUUUCUACCAGGGCUUUGGAAAAUGUACUGAAGAGGAAAGGUAUAAUUGAGGAAAAGAAGAAAGACGAUGAUGACGAAGAUGAUGAGACUGACAUGUCAAAGGAUAGGAGGCUCUCGGAAGUUCCUUAUGAUUUAUGUGUGCCGUAUUGUAUCGAACAAGAGAACUGGAAGCCGGAUGUAUUAGUGAUCUGUCAGUAA
RNAcentral lists this ribosomal RNA (660 nucleotides) under Triticum aestivum (bread wheat). RNAcentral's name for it is "partial small subunit ribosomal RNA". The record is from RNAcentral. Lineage: Eukaryota; Viridiplantae; Streptophyta; Magnoliopsida; Poales; Poaceae.